CAAACCAUGAUAACCGAUUUUUUGUGGC
RNAcentral lists this small RNA (28 nucleotides) under Bombyx mori (domestic silkworm). RNAcentral describes it as "ovarian small RNA-12733". The record is from RNAcentral. Lineage: Eukaryota; Metazoa; Arthropoda; Insecta; Lepidoptera; Bombycidae.